GAUGAACGCUGGCGGCAUGCCUAAGACAUGCAAGUCGUACGAAGCGGCCCAAUGAUUUAUUUAGAAACACUGAGAGCUUGCUCAAAGUGUGGAAGAAUAAUGAUUUGGAUUUUCCGCUUAGUGGCAAACGGGUGAGUAACACGUGGGUUACCUACCUCCUAGAUGGGGAUACCAAUUGGAAACGAUUGUUAAUACCGAAUGUGAUCUAUGGAUUAAAGGAGCCUUUAAAGCUUCGCUUGAAGAUGAGCCUGCGUCGUAUAGCUAGUUGGUGGGUAAUGGCCUACGAAGGCGACGAUGCGUAGCCGACUGAGAGGU
This 315-nucleotide ribosomal RNA is filed under the name uncultured bacterium. RNAcentral describes it as "bacterial SSU rRNA". It matches the Rfam family "Bacterial small subunit ribosomal RNA", at positions 28 to 300 of the family's 1533-position model. The record is from RNAcentral.